AGCGAACGCUGGCGGCAGGCUUAACACAUGCAAGUCGAUCGGGCACUUUCGGGUGUCAGCGGCGGACGGGUGCGUAACGCGUGGGAACGUGCCCUCUGGUUCGGAAUAACUCAGGGAAACUUGAGCUAAUACCGGAUACGCCCUUUUGGGGAAAGGCUUGCUGCCGGAGGAUCGACCCGCGUCUGAUUAGCUAGUUGGUGAGGUAACGGCUCACCAAGGCGACGAUCAGUAGCUGGUCUGAGAGGAUGAUCAGCCACACUGGGACUGAGACACGGCCCAGACUCCUACGGGAGGCAGCAGUGGGGAAUAUUGGACAAUGGGCGCAAGCCUGAUCCAGCCAUGCCGCGUGAGUGAUGAAGGCCUUAGGGUUGUAAAGCUCUUUUAUCCGGGACGAUAAUGACGGUACCGGAGGAAUAAGCCCCGGCUAACUUCGUG
This 435-nucleotide ribosomal RNA is filed under the name uncultured bacterium. RNAcentral's name for it is "partial 16S ribosomal RNA". It matches the Rfam family "Bacterial small subunit ribosomal RNA", at positions 29 to 507 of the family's 1533-position model. The record is from RNAcentral.